GACGAACGCUGGCGGCGUGCUUAACACAUGCAAGUCGAACGGAAAGGCCCUGCUUUUGUGGGGUGCUCGAGUGGCGAACGGGUGAGUAACACGUGAGUAACCUGCCCUUGACUUUGGGAUAACUUCAGGAAACUGGGGCUAAUACCGGAUAGGAGCUCCUGCUGCAUGGUGGGGGUUGGAAAGUUUCGGCGGUUGGGGAUGGACUCGCGGCUUAUCAGCUUGUUGGUGGGGUAGUGGCUUACCAAGGCUUUGACGGGUAGCCGGCCUGAGAGGGUGACCGGCCUCAUUGGGACUGAGAUACGGCCCAGACUCCUACGGGAGGCAGCAGUGGGGAAUAUUGCACAAUGGGCGGAAGCCGGAUGCAGCAACGCCGCGUGCGGGAUGACGGCCUUCGGGUUGUAAACCGCUUUCGCCUGUGACGAAGCGUGAGUGACGGUAAUGGGUAAAGAAGCACCGGCUAACUACGUG
RNAcentral lists this ribosomal RNA (468 nucleotides) under uncultured bacterium. Its description in RNAcentral is "partial 16S ribosomal RNA". It matches the Rfam family "Bacterial small subunit ribosomal RNA", at positions 28 to 507 of the family's 1533-position model. The record is from RNAcentral.